RNAcentral lists this ribosomal RNA (492 nucleotides) under uncultured bacterium. Its description in RNAcentral is "partial 16S ribosomal RNA". It matches the Rfam family "Bacterial small subunit ribosomal RNA", at positions 29 to 507 of the family's 1533-position model. The record is from RNAcentral.
AGUGAACGCUGGCGGUAGGCCUAACACAUGCAAGUCGAACGGCAGCACAGUAAGAGCUUGCUCUUACGGGUGGCGAGUGGCGGACGGGUGAGGAAUACAUCGGAAUCUACUUUUUCGUGGGGGAUAACGUAGGGAAACUUACGCUAAUACCGCAUACGACCUACGGGUGAAAGCAGGGGAUCUUCGGACCUUGCGCGAUUGAAUGAGCCGAUGUCGGAUUAGCUAGUUGGCGGGGUAAAGGCCCACCAAGGCGACGAUCCGUAGCUGGUCUGAGAGGAUGAUCAGCCACACUGGAACUGAGACACGGUCCAGACUCCUACGGGAGGCAGCAGUGGGGAAUAUUGGACAAUGGGCGCAAGCCUGAUCCAGCCAUACCGCGUGGGUGAAGAAGGCCUUCGGGUUGUAAAGCCCCGUUGUUGGGAAAGAAAAGCAGCAGGUUAAUACCCCGCUGUUCUGACGGUACCCAAAGAAUAAGCACCGGCUAACUUCGUG